UGCAAUUUUUGAUUACGAUAAGCCCCAAAAGGCUAGCAAUCUUUACACAUCUUCAUUCUUCAGUCAACGACAAUUAAUUAAUGCAAUGGGGAACUGGCAAUUAGAAGUCGCUAAAAUGGUGUUGUACAUGGCAUUUCCAGUGGGUAUGUUUCACUACUUUAACCAGCCAGAAGUUUAUGAAAAUUGGGUCACAAAAACGAAACGUGAAAUCUACCCCAUGGUCAACAAAGAAGAGGAUGAGGCGUUGAGACGAAAAAUUAGGGAAAUACGUGAAAAACAGGACGCUAAGGCUUUUGAGGUGCUGGAAUCUAGUUUAAAUAAAUAGGUUCUUUGAAGCUGUUUUUCUUCAAAAUACUUUUCUAAAAAGCCGAUGAGUUUCAAAUAUGAAGUAAUGUUUAUCGUUGCUGAUAGGAAGUGCAAAUUCGUAGCUGACAGGGAAGUUCGAUGUUAUUUUUGUACAUCAUUCUCAUGCAAACCGGACUAUGCUGGCGGUAUAAAGGGAUCGGUGCAUUCACCAACGGGCUGUUCCAACCGAGGCUCAGACUCUAUAAUAAAUCAAUAACCUGAUGUUUCAAUAAGCCAACGAUGAUGCAUGCCCAGCCUCCGAGAACUCAGACAAUUUAUUAACCCUUGAAGCCGAACAGAUUUUCCAAUAUAGAUUUCUGUAAUAAGUAAGUAUGUGAAUAAAAAAUCAUUUUUCAGCAUUUAUUCAUAGUAGCAUAAUUUCUUUUUUUUAAUCCAUAUUAUUUUAUUGUGUUAAUCCCGAAAUAUAAAAGACUUAUAAGACUAAAAUGAACAGCUGUAUUUCAUAAAAAUUGUAUGAAUUUCUACAUAUUAAUUAUAUUGAUCAUAUGUACAUAUGUACAAAAUAGAGAUUUAUGGGAUUGAGUUAUUGUAACAAUGCAUGUUAAGAAAAUCCAUUAUUUCAUAGCCAAUGUAUAAUUUGAAAUUCAGUAAACCAUGAUAAAGUAAAGUAUGGUAAUAUUUUACAAACUUGACUUCUACAAAGUCAAUCUGUAAUUGCAAAAUAAUGAUUUUUUACCUAACGGUUCAUGUAACGUUAACUUUAUUAACUUCAACUUCAUAGAUAUUUCACAUGCAUCAGCUAUCUGUACUUACUUUAGAAAAAUUAUUUGUAUAAUUAAAAUUUAAAUAUUGCUUCACGUCCUGUAUUAUGUGUGCUACCUAACUUCGUCCAACAAAUGAAAACCUUUAUUCAUAUGUUUUGUGAUUUGCUACAGUCAAUAAAUACCUCAGAGUACUUCGAGAAUUGAAAAUCAUUUGUGUAUAUAGGCGAUGAUAGUUCUAACUGACUACAGGUAUUAUUGCAGUACUUUCAUUGGUAUAUGGAAUUAUUAGACAGACAUGAAAUUUAUUGCAAAAUCUAUUUUUAG
This 1394-nucleotide unclassified non-coding RNA is filed under the name Neodiprion lecontei (redheaded pine sawfly). Its description in RNAcentral is "protein PET100 homolog, mitochondrial, transcript variant X6". Lineage: Eukaryota; Metazoa; Arthropoda; Insecta; Hymenoptera; Diprionidae. The record is from RNAcentral.